GCCAGGUCUGUUUUGAGGACCUUCAGAGGGUCCUGACAGGCUGGUACGCCCUCCUAUAUACUCAUACCCGGUGGGAGAACAAGUGGGAGAGAAAGACAAGAGGAAGAAAGAAGGUCUUCUUUGGUUCUCGGUUUGAGUUCAGAGUCACCACCUCUAACCUCCUGGAUUUCGCUUUGAUAAUGUUGGAUGCCUCUAGCUAUGUCUUAGCCAUUUGUUAGCUAAAACCUUCACUGAGAUACACAAACACUUCAAAAUUUGUGAGCUACAUGUAUAUUUAUGGAUUUCUGAGAUUGCUCAAGGACCGAUUGAUGGAUGGAUGGAUAAGAUGACUGCUGGUGCAAAAUCCAAAAUCAUUUCUGGUUUUCAGUACUCUUUCCUGCCACACUGUAUUCUGCAGAAUGUAUCACACUUUUUUUAAAAGGUAUUUGCAGUUGUACUUUUUAUUAACUUCCAACACUUUUACGCUGUGCAGAGGUAUAAGCACAGUUUGACCAUCUUGAUAUAUUUGUUAUGAAAGCAGUCCUGUGUUUUCACUUCCAGAAGCUCAUCACCAGGAACUGCAAAGAUGGUUCUUAGAUUUGUCAUCCUGCGAUGUGGCAGACAAUAUAUUACUGCUGUCACUCAUCAAGCUACUGCAAAAGUACACGGCACAUUUUUGUGGAAUGCUUUUUCCUGUUGUAAAUUAUUAACCAUUAUAACAUGAAUCAGUGGGUGUUGACCUCGGGACUGAUUCAUACUUUUAAAAUGUGCAGGGGGAAAAUAUUUAUCUGCUCGUUCAGUAACACUGCUGGUUGGAGGUGAUUUUUCUCAUUAAACUGUGUUAGCUGCACAGGCUAAUCUCAAUAUUAAUUCAUUAAUAGGUUGAUUUUAGGAUUGAAAUGGAGAGCAAUUACAUAACUAAAACUGGCAUUCUUGAAUAGUAAUUAAUCAAUUAGCCUUAAUAUUAAUGCCAGUAAAUUGUCGUGGGUUUGAUGCAUGACAUGAAAAACCUGAUUUGUUUUCACAGCAGUUUGACUCGGUGUCAAUACUGCCCGUCCGUAAAUAAAUGUAAAUGAACUGAUAUUUCAACUAUGUCAAAAGGAAUUACAAGGAUAUGCACUGUCCAUUUAAUCUCAGCUGUGGCGAAUAUAACUGGAUCUAUAAUAAAAAAUCUGUGUGUGCA
This is a long non-coding RNA of Oreochromis aureus, 1162 nucleotides long. RefSeq lists it as uncharacterized. The record is from RefSeq and is a predicted model, not a curated record. Lineage: Eukaryota; Metazoa; Chordata; Actinopteri; Cichliformes; Cichlidae. The transcript has 2 exons.